AUUGAACGCUGGCGGCAGGCCUAACACAUGCAAGUCGAGCGGAUGAAGGGAGCUUGCUCCUGGAUUCAGCGGCGGACGGGUGAGUAAUGCCUAGGAAUCUGCCUGGCAGUGGGGGAUAAUGUCCGGAAACGGGCGCUAAUACCGCAUACGUCCUGAGGGAGAAAGUGGGGGAUCUUCGGACCUCACGCUAUCAGAUGAGCCUAGGUCGGAUUAGCUAGUUGGUGGGGUAAAGGCCUACCAAGGCGACGAUCCGUAACUGGUCUGAGAGGAUGAUCAGUCACACUGGAACUGAGACACGGUCCAGACUCCUACGGGAGGCAGCAGUGGGGAAUAUUGGACAAUGGGCGAAAGCCUGAUCCAGCCAUGCCGCGUGUGUGAAGAAGGUCUUCGGAUUGUAAAGCACUUUAAGUUGGGAGGAAGGGCAGUAAGUUAAUACCUUGCUGUUUUGACGUUACCAACAGAAUAAGCACCGGCUAACUUCGUG
RNAcentral lists this ribosomal RNA (484 nucleotides) under uncultured bacterium. Its description in RNAcentral is "partial 16S ribosomal RNA". It matches the Rfam family "Bacterial small subunit ribosomal RNA", at positions 30 to 507 of the family's 1533-position model. The record is from RNAcentral.